RNAcentral lists this ribosomal RNA (308 nucleotides) under uncultured soil bacterium. RNAcentral's name for it is "bacterial SSU rRNA". It matches the Rfam family "Bacterial small subunit ribosomal RNA", at positions 26 to 346 of the family's 1533-position model. The record is from RNAcentral.
AGAUUGAACGCUGGCGGCAUGCCUUACACAUGCAAGUCGAACGGUAGAGUAGCAAUACUUGAGAGUGGCGAACGGGUGAGUAAUAUAUCGGAACGUGCCCAGUCGUGGGGGAUAACGUAGAGAAAUUUACGCUAAUACCGCAUACGAUCUAUGGAUGAAAGCGGGGGACCGAAAGGCCUCGCGCGAUUGGAGCGGCCGAUGCAGAUUAGCUAGUGGUGGGGUAAAGCCCACCAAGCGACGAUCUGUAGCUGGUCUGAGAGGACGACCAGCCACACUGGAACUGAGACACGGUCCAGACUCCUACGGGA